UACUGAUGAUCCGCGCCGCGAUA
Molecule: small RNA, 23 nt
Filed under: Bombyx mori (domestic silkworm)
Lineage: Eukaryota; Metazoa; Arthropoda; Insecta; Lepidoptera; Bombycidae
Description: ovarian small RNA-21472
Source: RNAcentral